CCAGCCCUUUUCUUUUCUAAUCAGCUGCGAGUGGUUCGGCUGAACACCGUUCUUCUCUCCCCGAUCCCCCUCCCUCUAACGAUUGCGGAGGCCGCGGUAGCGGCGGCGACGGUGACGGUGCCGGAGGGACGACCCGGAUGCCAGGGCUACUCCCUGCCUCAUGCGUGGAGCAGUCCCCCUUUCUCUCUCAUGCGGUAGCGACCAGGAGGCGGAUUGUGCACUGCAACGAUGCGAUGCAAGCUCGGCGGCAACCACGACCUUCUUCGGCGUCCCUCUCCACCUCCGGCGGUUUGCUCACUGAUUGCAGCCGCCAAGGUUAAUCUUUACCUUCACUCAAGUGACUAAGAGAAGCUAGAAAAGAAAUUAUGAGAGAAGCCAGACAACCGAUUGAAGAAAGCGAAUGAAAACAAAAGAUAGAGAGAAGCGGCAUUUCUUCCCCAAAGGUUAAGUUUACCUUCUAGAUUCUUAUCAGUACGAUCCUCCUUCUCUUGUACAGUAUUAGUUAUUACUGAACACUUGUUAUUUUUGUUUCAGGAGAACACUUCAAGUCCAUCUGAUUCCUUCUUUUCGCGUGGAAGUCCAUCAGAUUUUGUCAUGCCUAUCAAUGGGGAUAGUGAGGUUGCUGAUACGGCCACGUCUUCACAGCUCUGCUGUUGUAGGUUGGUCAUCCCAUCAUUGUGAAUCUACUCUGUUGUACAAGGAAGGAAAUCAAAAAGGGUAAAACACAAUAAAAUGUGAAAAACAAGCUGCACACUGCGAGCGUCGAAGAACCACACCCCAAGAAGAAGCAUGAAUCAUCUCAGC
Triticum aestivum (bread wheat) is the source of this 804-nucleotide long non-coding RNA. RefSeq lists it as uncharacterized. The record is from RefSeq and is a predicted model, not a curated record. The transcript has 3 exons. NCBI's taxonomy places the organism in Eukaryota, Viridiplantae, Streptophyta, Magnoliopsida, Poales, Poaceae.